RNAcentral lists this ribosomal RNA (436 nucleotides) under uncultured bacterium. RNAcentral describes it as "bacterial SSU rRNA". It matches the Rfam family "Bacterial small subunit ribosomal RNA", at positions 370 to 793 of the family's 1533-position model. The record is from RNAcentral.
AAUGGGGGAAACCCUGAUGCAGCCAUGCCGCGUUGUGUGAAGAAGGCCUUCGGGUUGUAAAGCACUUUCAGUAGGGAGGAAGGUAGUGUAGUUAACACCUGCAUUAUUUGACGUUACCUACAGAAGAAGCACCGGCUAACUCCGUGCCAGCAGCCGCGGUAAUACGGAGGGUGCGAGCGUUAAUCGGAAUUACUGGGCGUAAAAGCGCAUGCAGGCGGCCUGUUAAGUCAGAUGUGAAAGCCCCGGGGCUUAACCUCGGAAUUGCAUUUGAAACUGGCAGGCUAGAGUCUUGUAGAGGGGGUAGAAUUUCAGGUGUAGCGGUGAAAUGCGUAGAGAUCUGAAGGAAUACCAGUGGCGAAGGCGGCCCCCUCGGACAAAGACUGACGCUCAGAUGCGAAAGCGUGGGGAGCAAACAAGGAUUAGAUACCCUCGGUAG